This 440-nucleotide ribosomal RNA is filed under the name uncultured bacterium. RNAcentral describes it as "partial 16S ribosomal RNA". It matches the Rfam family "Bacterial small subunit ribosomal RNA", at positions 338 to 795 of the family's 1533-position model. The record is from RNAcentral.
CCUACGGGUGGCAGCAGUGGGGAAUAUUGCACAAUGGGGGAAACCCUGAUGCCGCGACGCCGCGUGAGUGAAGAAGUAUUUCGGUAUGUAAAGCUCUAUCAGCAGGGGAGAAAAUGACGGUACCUGAUUAAGAAGCACCGGCUAACUACGUGCCAGCAGCGGCGGUAAUCCGGAGGGGGCAAGCGUUAUCCGGAUUUACUGGGUGUAAAGGGAGCGUAGACGGCAGUACAAGUCUGGAGUGAAAUGCCGGGGCUUAACCCCGGAACUGCUUUGGAAACUGUGCAACUAGAGUGGAGGAGAGGUAAGUGGAAUUCGUAGUGUAGCGGUGAAAUGCAUAGAUAUUAGGAGGAACUCCGGUGGCGAAGGCGGCUUACUGGACUGUAACUGACGUUGAAGCUCGAAAGCGUGGGGAGCAAACAGGAUUAGAUACCCCAGUAGUC